Molecule: small RNA, 184 nt
Filed under: Sus scrofa (pig)
Lineage: Eukaryota; Metazoa; Chordata; Mammalia; Artiodactyla; Suidae
Description: TUC338 (ENSSSCG00070018141.1)
Source: RNAcentral
UGGACAGCCCUGGAGACGGAAGUCUUCUCUUUAACCACAGUCUGGGUGAAGCACAGACAGAGGCAACAAAAAUCUUCCCUGUUUUCCCACCACUGGUUCCCCCGACUACAUAGGAGACCCUCCCUCGUGGGGAGGGAAGGGCACUGAGGUUCAUGCUUGAGUUUAAUUUCACAGGUUGGCUUCC